GAUGAACGCUGGCGGCGUGCUUAACACAUGCAAGUCGAACGAUGAAGCCAGCUUGCUGGUGGAUUAGUGGCGAACGGGUGAGUAACACGUGAGUAACCUGCCCUUGACUCUGGGAUAAGCCUGGGAAACCGGGUCUAAUACUGGAUACGACCUUCCCACGCAUGUGGUGUUGGUGGAAAGCUUUUGUGGUUUUGGAUGGACUCGCGGCCUAUCAGCUUGUUGGUGGGGUAAUGGCCUACCAAGGCGACGACGGGUAGCCGGCCUGAGAGGGUGACCGGCCACACUGGGACUGAGACACGGCCCAGACUCCUACGGGAGGCAGCAGUGGGGAAUAUUGCACAAUGGGCGCAAGCCUGAUGCAGCGACGCCGCGUGAGGGAUGAAGGCCUUCGGGUUGUAAACCUCUUUCAGUAGGGAAGAAGCCGGCCCUUGGGUUGGUGACGGUACCUGCAGAAGAAGCGCCGGCUAACUACGUGCCAGCAGCCGCGGUAAUACGUAGGGCGCAAGCGUUAUCCGGAAUUAUUGGGCGUAAAGAGCUCGUAGCGGUUUGUCGCGUCUGCCGUGAAAGUCCGGGGCUUAACCCCGGAUCUGCGGUGGGUACGGGCAGACUAGAGUGCAGUAGGGGAGACUGGAAUUCCUGGUGUAGCGGUGAAAUGCGCAGAUAUCAGGAGGAACACCGAUGGCGAAGGCAGGUCUCUGGGCUGUAACUGACGCUGAGGAGCGAAAGCAUGGGGAGCGAACAGGAUUAGAUACCCUGGUAGUCCAUGCCGUAAACGUUGGGCACUAGGUGUGGGGGACAUUCCACGUUUUCCGCGCCGUAGCUAACGCAUUAAGUGCCCCGCCUGGGGAGUACGGCCGCAAGGCUAAAACUCAAAGGAAUUGACGGGGGCCCGCACAAGCGGCGGAGCAUGCGGAUUAAUUCGAUGCAACGCGAAGAACCUUACCAAGGCUUGACAUGAACCGGAAUGAUGCAGAGAUGUGUCAGCCACUUGUGGCCGGUUUACAGGUGGUGCAUGGUUGUCGUCAGCUCGUGUCGUGAGAUGUUGGGUUAAGUCCCGCAACGAGCGCAACCCUCGUUCCAUGUUGCCAGCGGGUUAUGCCGGGGACUCAUGGGAGACUGCCGGGGUCAACUCGGAGGAAGGUGGGGACGACGUCAAAUCAUCAUGCCCCUUAUGUCUUGGGCUUCACGCAUGCUACAAUGGCCGGUACAAAGGGUUGCGAUACUGUGAGGUGGAGCUAAUCCCAAAAAGCCGGUCUCAGUUCGGAUUGAGGUCUGCAACUCGACCUCAUGAAGUUGGAGUCGCUAGUAAUCGCAGAUCAGCAACGCUGCGGUGAAUACGUUCCCGGGCCU
This 1350-nucleotide ribosomal RNA is filed under the name uncultured bacterium. RNAcentral's name for it is "bacterial SSU rRNA". It matches the Rfam family "Bacterial small subunit ribosomal RNA", at positions 28 to 1381 of the family's 1533-position model. The record is from RNAcentral.